GCCGAAGUGGUGGAAUUGGCAGACACGCUACUUUGAGGGGGUAGUGAAGGAUUUCUUCAUGCGGGUUCGAGUCCCGCCUUCGGCA
Molecule: transfer RNA, 85 nt
Filed under: Mahella australiensis 50-1 BON
Lineage: Bacteria; Bacillati; Bacillota; Clostridia; Mahellales; Mahellaceae
Rfam family: tRNA
About the family: Transfer RNA (tRNA) molecules are approximately 80 nucleotides in length.
Source: Rfam by way of RNAcentral